This 555-nucleotide long non-coding RNA is filed under the name Rhinolophus ferrumequinum (greater horseshoe bat). Its description in RNAcentral is "lncRNA (ENSRFEG00010013897.1)". The record is from RNAcentral. Lineage: Eukaryota; Metazoa; Chordata; Mammalia; Chiroptera; Rhinolophidae.
GGAGGGGCGGCGCUCCCGCCGGCUGGGCUUCGGGGCAACGUUAACCGGCGCCCGCCGCCACCGGAGCAGGAGGUACCGGGGCCGCGUGGAGGAUGGGAAAGAUUGAGUGAAGUGGGAGCUGGGAUGUGCUGCGGGGAGGUCCAACCUCAGAGUCCACUUCCCUUCGCUGCUAGGGAGACUUUUAUGAGCGGAUGGGAAAGAGCCAGAAGACAGAGUGGCUGAGGCCCCCGGAGAAGGAAGGGCAGGUGGAUGGACUGAGGUCCCAGCGGAUGCGGGAGGUGGCAGGUGCCCAGCACUGGUCCAGAGAGACCUUCCGAGCUGAUGGAUUUGCAGGCGCGGGAAGCAUGUGGAAGGCCGUGUUCGUGUUGCAGAGAAGGUUGGCUGCUGAGCCAGGGCGUGUCUGCAGGAGGCCUGCCAGGCUGCCCGGAUCCCCACCUCACCACCAUGGGCCACCCAGGCUGGUCAGUUCCAGUCCUUGAUUUCGCCACGGUUCCCUGCCCUUGGCACUGGGGGAAGGCCGGACCCAAUUGCUCAAGUCCCAGGUUUCUGGCAUCA